UUCCUUUUGUUAAAAUAAAUAUUCCCUCUUAUUAUUAUAUUAGAUUUAGAUUAAAAUAGGAGAAAUAAUAGCUUUAUUGUUGGUUUGAAAUAAAGAUUGUGAGGUAUUUCUUUUAGAUAAUUUCUUUCUUCUUUAAUAUAUAUAUAUAUUUUAAAGUAUAUAAUAUAUAGGUUCAAAACUUCCCUCUAAUGGACAAGUUCUAGCAGUUUUGUUUUACAAUAUCCGCGAAGUGAAUUUAAAAGUAAAUGAGAGUGCAAAUCUUACGAUACGCGAGUGCAUUAUUUUUUCUUCAAAUCGUUAUUUCUUAUGAAGAUAAGGAGCAACUUAUAUCUGUGCCACGUCUGGAGAGUUCUGCUGGAAGUGAGCAAGCGCAGGCUGUCUGGACCGCAAUAGUAGAUAGGACGGCUUCACACACUGGUCGACUUAACGGAGCUUGUGUCCUUUUGGAGCAAAAGAUCAACAGAGAACUUCUUAUUUUUGCUUGACGCCAUCACGUCUAUGAAUUGGUACUCAAAGCAGCCUUCGAAGCAAAAAUUUGCCAGUUGACAACAAGCCCAGAUAUCCCCCAAUUUAAAAAAUUCCGAGACAGCUGCAAAAAUAUUGAUAAUACCAAAGUUGAAACCUAUCGAGCAAAAAUAGCAUUGUGCCUGACACUAAGUGAAAUUGAGGACCUAAUUUCGUUUUAUCGCUCUGAACUGACGAAAACAAUUGUCAUAGACGACUAUCGUGGGUUAAUAGAGCUCUCAAUUAUAUUUUUAGGCGGAGAUGAAGGAAACAAGACUAAAAUCCGACCCCCGGUGCCUGCACCAAGCUCUGCGAUGGUUAGAGUUAUCUAUUCCUUAAAAAUAUUAUUACUUAGCUCUCAACUUAAAAUUACUAUUAAAGAUAAGAACGCCCUGUUUGAUGUCUGCUUGUUCAUCGCCUAUGUCAAACCAUGGAUUCAGUGCGUUUCUGCAGUUAAAGCACCUUACCAAGAUCUGUGCUUUUUGAAAACUAUGAGAGUUUAUGAAAAAAAUGAUAAAAAUAUAUCAAAAGCAGUGUUGAAGAAGUUUACUCAGCAUUUAUGGUAUUUGACCGAGGAAGUAUCUGUGUUAUCGCUUUUUGACGAUGAGGUGAGCCUAGAAAGUAAAGAAAAAAUUAUAUCAAAUUUGUCUAAGGAUAGUAUCUCGUCUCAAGAAAAGUUGUUGUUUUACGUUACCAAUGAAAUAUAUUGCACUCUUUUUCGUACUGCGCCAUUCGACUGACAUGAUGACAAUUUGAAAACAAUGUGAUGAAUGAUGAAAUUACUAGAAACACCCGCACUGGCACAUGCAAGUCCUUGCGCGCUUAGGAGUUCAAGUAGUAACAUGUUUCGAUUCAAGUCGGCACGGGUUGCUGUCAUCCGAAGCGCACGGCUGUGUAAUAGGCCAAGUCCGGAGAAGCAAUAAACGUAGUACGUGGCCGAAAUAGUGAUGUCGGCUUUUGUAAUUAACCCCGGGAGCUGCAAAGGAUUGGGAGAUUUAUUGUUGUUUUAUGUCAGACAAGGACGGUAACGGAGCGUUAGAUAGAGGCGAUUUGCCAGCCCAGCUCCUUCAGGAAGCGGAGCACCGCCGAUGGUGUACGGCAGGCUUCGCUCAUGGUCCCUGGAUCUCCCAGGAACUCUUUUCUUGUUGAUGCGACGCCAUGACACUGCAAUAGAAGAUGACCUAAUAGUACCUAAUCUUCUGUAAGGCUAAUUGCCCAUCUAUAAGGAAGGCCAGUGCACCAAGCGAAGCGGUGGUGGUGCAAUGGUUAAGACGCCCGCCUGUGGAUCGAAAGGUCCCAAAUUCGAAUCCUACUCGUGCCACAUGAUUUUGUAUACAAAUCUGACUCAUAUAUAGUAAUUUUCAUCGACCACCACUUGCUUCCGGUGAAGGAAAACAUCCUGAGGAAACCUGCACACUGGUUGGUUAUUAACUUGUGUGCGAAAUGGAAAAGGCAAUAGCAAACCACUCAAUUAAUAAUGCCAAGAAAGUUGUUGUGUGUAUCUCAUUCCACGUAAUGACCAAUUCCCUCAGCCAUGAGGAAUACGACUAUGAAGAGAGUGCACCAAGAGUGGGUACUUUGAUGACCAUUAAUUUAAGCAUUAACUUUUUGUAUCUGUCAAAUUGAAUGUCGU
Plodia interpunctella (Indianmeal moth) is the source of this 2137-nucleotide long non-coding RNA. RefSeq lists it as uncharacterized. The transcript is spliced from 5 exons. The record is from RefSeq and is a predicted model, not a curated record. NCBI's taxonomy places the organism in Eukaryota, Metazoa, Arthropoda, Insecta, Lepidoptera, Pyralidae.